GACGAACGCUGGCGGCGUGCUUAACACAUGCAAGUCGAACGGUGAAUGCGGAGCUUGCUCCGCUGGAUCAGUGGCGAACGGGUGAGUAACACGUGGGCAACCUGCCCCUCACUUCGGGAUAACUCCGGGAAACCGGGGCUAAUACCGGAUAUGACCUCCUUGGGCAUCCUUGGAGGUGGAAAGUUUUUCGGUGAGGGAUGGGCCCGCGGCCUAUCAGCUUGUUGGUGAGGUAGUGGCUCACCAAGGCGACGACGGGUAGCCGGCCUGAGAGGGCGACCGGCCACACUGGGACUGAGACACGGCCCAGACUCCUACGGGAGGCAGCAGUGGGGAAUAUUGCGCAAUGGGCGAAAGCCUGACGCAGCAACGCCGCGUGCGGGAUGACGGCCUUCGGGUUGUAAACCGCUUUCAGCAGGGAAGAAGCCGCAAGGUGACGGUACCUGCAGAAGAAGCACCGGCUAACUACGUGCCAGCCGCCGCCGUAA
This 485-nucleotide ribosomal RNA is filed under the name uncultured bacterium. Its description in RNAcentral is "partial 16S ribosomal RNA". It matches the Rfam family "Bacterial small subunit ribosomal RNA", at positions 28 to 523 of the family's 1533-position model. The record is from RNAcentral.